This 253-nucleotide ribosomal RNA is filed under the name uncultured bacterium. RNAcentral describes it as "partial 16S ribosomal RNA". It matches the Rfam family "Bacterial small subunit ribosomal RNA", at positions 524 to 776 of the family's 1533-position model. The record is from RNAcentral.
UACAGAGGUCUCGAGCGUUAGGCGGAAUCACUGGGCUUAAAGCGUGUGUAGGCGGAUCGGUAAGUACCUUGUGAAAUCCCACAGCUUAACUGUGGAACUGCUUGGUAUACUGCCAGUCUUGAGCCACUUAGGGGCUACCGGAACAAAUGGUGUAGCGGUGAAAUGCGUAGAUAUCUGGAGGAACACCGGUGGCGAAGGCGGCAUCCUGGACCGAUAUUGACGCUGAUGCGCGAAAGCCAGGGGAGCAAACGGG